CUCGAGGCCAGAUCUAGAGUUUGAUCCUGGCUGAGAUUGAACGCUGGCGGCAUGCCUUACACAUGCAAGUCGAACGGCAGCAUGGGAGCUUGCUCCUGAUGGCGAGUGGCGAACGGGUGAGUAAUAUAUCGGAACGUGCCCUAGAGUGGGGGAUAACUAGUCGAAAGACUAGCUAAUACCGCAUACGAUCUACGGAUGAAAGUGGGGGAUCGCAAGACCUCAUGCUCCUGGAGCGGCCGAUAUCUGAUUAGCUAGUUGGUGGGGUAAAAGCCUACUAAGGCGACGAUCAGUAGCUGGUCUGAGAGGACGACCAGCCACACUGGGACUGAGACACGGCCCAGACUCCUACGGGAGGCAGCAGUGGGGAAUUUUGGACAAUGGGGGCAACCCUGAUCCAGCAAUGCCGCGUGAGUGAAGAAGGCCUUCGGGUUGUAAAGCUCUUUUGUCAGGGAAGAAACGGUAGUAGCUAAUAUCUAUUACUAAUGACGGUACCUGAAGAAUAAGCACCGGCUAACUACGUGCCAGCAGCCGCGGUAAUACGUAGGGUGCAAGCGUUAAUCGGAAUUACUGGGCGUAAA
This 578-nucleotide ribosomal RNA is filed under the name uncultured bacterium. RNAcentral's name for it is "bacterial SSU rRNA". It matches the Rfam family "Bacterial small subunit ribosomal RNA", at positions 1 to 564 of the family's 1533-position model. The record is from RNAcentral.